Molecule: ribosomal RNA, 292 nt
Filed under: uncultured bacterium
Lineage: Bacteria
Description: partial 16S ribosomal RNA
Rfam family: Bacterial small subunit ribosomal RNA
Source: RNAcentral
GUGUCAGCAGCCGCGGUAAGACGAACCGUGCGAACGUUGUUCGGAAUCACUGGGCUUAAAGGGCGCGUAGGCGGGCUCCCAAGUCUGUGGUGAAAUCCCCCGGCUCAACCGGGGAACUGCCGCGGAUACUGGGAAUCUCGAGGGGUGUAGGGGCAUGCGGAACUUCGGGUGGAGCGGUGAAAUGCGUAGAGAUCCGAAGGAACGCCGGUGGCGAAAGCGGCGUGCUGGACACCUUCUGACGCUGAGGCGCGAAAGCCAGGGGAGCAAACGGGAUUAGAUACCCCCGUAGUCC